GCAAAUAUGGUUAGUAAACCAACAAAUUUGCUGUCAAGUUAAAAAAUAUGUCAUGAAAUGACAAUAAGAUACCCUUAAAGGAAACCUUAAUUAAAGAAAUGGCUUGACUACCUAUGAAAAAAAGUUAAAUAUUUGCUUUCCCUUUUCUUUAAUAAAUUAAUUAUUCAUGUAUUCUCUUUUUAUAGUGUUGUGAAGUUUUUCUGAAAUUGUAUGUUUUUUAGGGGAAGGUUAAGAAUUGAAUUACUUGGGUUUUUGUUUUGUCCUACUGUACCUACUAGAUAAUAUAUAAAAUAUUUCUAUGUAUUUCUCAUUUCCUGUUUACAGAUUUUCAGUCCUUUUAUUACAAAUCUCAUUUGGUCCUUAUAUGUUAUAAUUGUUUGUGAUACAUGUAUAUUUAGGAGUUUUUGUUCAUAUAAUCAAUGUCAAUUUUUUUCUUUUUCUCAUCUUCUGAUCAGGAUUUCUGGCAGGUACCGACUCAGCAGCAUGUGCUUUAAAUUAAUUAAUGUUUCAAAACCCAUAGUUAUGGUGCAGGGAUAAA
This 538-nucleotide long non-coding RNA is filed under the name Bos taurus (domestic cattle). RNAcentral describes it as "long non-coding RNA NONBTAT017143". Lineage: Eukaryota; Metazoa; Chordata; Mammalia; Artiodactyla; Bovidae. The record is from RNAcentral.